Molecule: ribosomal RNA, 964 nt
Filed under: Janthinobacterium sp.
Lineage: Bacteria; Pseudomonadati; Pseudomonadota; Betaproteobacteria; Burkholderiales; Oxalobacteraceae
Description: bacterial SSU rRNA
Rfam family: Bacterial small subunit ribosomal RNA
Source: RNAcentral
AGCUUGCUCUGGUGGCGAGUGGCGAACGGGUGAGUAAUAUAUCGGAACGUACCCUAGAGUGGGGGAUAACGUAGCGAAAGUUACGCUAAUACCGCAUACGAUCUAAGGAUGAAAGUGGGGGAUCGCAAGACCUCAUGCUCGUGGAGCGGCCGAUAUCUGAUUAGCUAGUUGGUAGGGUAAAAGCCUACCAAGGCAUCGAUCAGUAGCUGGUCUGAGAGGACGACCAGCCACACUGGAACUGAGACACGGUCCAGACUCCUACGGGAGGCAGCAGUGGGGAAUUUUGGACAAUGGGCGAAAGCCUGAUCCAGCAAUGCCGCGUGAGUGAAGAAGGCCUUCGGGUUGUAAAGCUCUUUUGUCAGGGAAGAAACGGUGAGAGCUAAUAUCUCUUGCUAAUGACGGUACCUGAAGAAUAAGCACCGGCUAACUACGUGCCAGCAGCCGCGGUAAUACGUAGGGUGCAAGCGUUAAUCGGAAUUACUGGGCGUAAAGCGUGCGCAGGCGGUUUUGUAAGUCUGAUGUGAAAUCCCCGGGCUCAACCUGGGAAUUGCAUUGGAGACUGCAAGGCUAGAAUCUGGCAGAGGGGGGUAGAAUUCCACGUGUAGCAGUGAAAUGCGUAGAUAUGUGGAGGAACACCGAUGGCGAAGGCAGCCCCCUGGGUCAAGAUUGACGCUCAUGCACGAAAGCGUGGGGAGCAAACAGGAUUAGAUACCCUGGUAGUCCACGCCCUAAACGAUGUCUACUAGUUGUCGGGUCUUAAUUGACUUGGUAACGCAGCUAACGCGUGAAGUAGACCGCCUGGGGAGUACGGUCGCAAGAUUAAAACUCAAAGGAAUUGACGGGGACCCGCACAAGCGGUGGAUGAUGUGGAUUAAUUCGAUGCAACGCGAAAAACCUUACCUACCCUUGACAUGGCUGGAAUCCCCGAGAGAUUGGGGAGUGCUCGAAAGAGAACCAGUACACA